Musa acuminata AAA Group (dessert banana) is the source of this 2505-nucleotide long non-coding RNA. RefSeq lists it as uncharacterized. The transcript is spliced from 3 exons. The record is from RefSeq and is a predicted model, not a curated record. Lineage: Eukaryota; Viridiplantae; Streptophyta; Magnoliopsida; Zingiberales; Musaceae.
CAUUUCAAGAACGAUGCCGUACCUUGGCGAUUGGAUGUGGAGAAGGAACCCACAAAGGGACCCACCCCUGGAUCGAUCUCUAAUCCAUCUACAAGGCAGGUAGGCGGGAUGAGUAACCGCAACGGUAAAAAAAGGCAUGGUUUGAAUUUAUUUGUCCUUUUUGGCCAAUUGCCCUUUGAAUUUUCGAUAUUACCUAUUCAUCCCUCCGCACAUCCAAUUAUAUAUCCCCGUCCGUUUAUUCAUAAAUAACAAUUAUAAUUAACUCUAUUAAUUAAAAUACUUAUGUAUAAAUAAUGUGAUUUUAAGAUAUCUUUAGGUUUCUUGAGAUGGCGGUUUCUUUGGGGGUUUGGAUUUGAACAAAGGCUGUGAGAAAGUGAGCUUGGAGGUGACUUUUGCAGUGCUGACUCUCAGUACUUUUUCCUUCUACGAGAAGAAGAAGGAAACACCACUGUUUCCUUAUCAUCGCACGUACAUGAAGCUGUUGAGCUCAUGGCGAUGAUGGUAAGCUUGUCGUGGUGGUGUCGGUUCAUCUAAUUGGAUGCAUCACCUUCUAUGGAGAUUUGGUGUUCACCUUGCAUGCAUGAUAUGAGAUGCUGCAACCUCUUCAGUCCUCAUCUCCAUUGAUCAAGCAAGCUCUUGAAUACUGUUCAGUGUGUGAGACAGACUGCAAAUUUGCUUCUCUUGCCGAUCAGAGAAGGAUUCAUGCUCCAGGAGAAUGAAUGAGCAUUACCCAUGCUGGAAAAUUCCUUCUCCUUGGCCUCUGGUCUGUCUUUAUCUUCAGCAUCUGCCUGCCUCACUUUAAUACACACUGAUACCAACAAAUCCCUGCAGCAUUAACUCUCGGGGACCAUCUACCACACAGCCAUGCUCCUGAUGCUGAUGAGCUGGGGUUUGGGUGGUAGCUCGGCUUGUGUUGGCCAUGGAGGUAAUUGGCUCGAAGGUGAUAGGGAAAUGGAAAGCUUCCAUCUUCCCCCCCCACUCUCCUCUGUUGUACAUCAUACUCUUGCCACCGUUUGGAACAGUUCUACACCGGAAGGUGUGGAGAAAGGAAGAAAACUAUUUGAUUACCACUGGUAGAUCUGUGCAAUGGUGUCUCACCAUUUGACUGGCCACUAUAUGACAGGAAACCCUUUGCUGGAGAUCAAACCAUGGUUAAUGUACUUCUUAUGCCAAUACUUUAUGGUACAUCAUUGAGCAUCACUGUUGUGUGUUGAUAGAUUCUAAAGUUCAGAUUCUGCUGCACCUGCCUUGGCUUCAAACUAUUAUCUGUAGCCAUUAUGUCAGUAGUUGCACCAGUGGGGAUUCUCUCUCUCUCUCUCUCUCUCUUUCUUUCUUUAUGUUCCAUCAUGCUAUAAAUUAUCAUGGUGAAUGAAAAGGGUGAGAGCGACAAGAUGCAACACCUACACUUUUUCCAAGGAUCAUCUCAGCCUCUAAAGAUUGCUCACUUGAGCAUUGCACACAAGAUAUCACCAUCUCAUACAAGGUUUUGAGGUUGGAAGUUGAGUCAACCCUGACAUGACCAAAGAGUAGCAGCAGAUGCAUCAAGGAUUAAGAUCUUUCCGUGUGGGGUGAUGCUGUCAGCUCAAUCUCGGGAUCGGUCACUGUGGGCGAGCAGUCUAACUACUACAUCACACUGUCGAACAUAUGAUCGAUGGUGUUGCUCCAUUUGGCUCCAUUGUUGCUUGGACAUGGAUUUGGAGGCCUCCCCACGACAGUGGAUGACUGUGUCAGAGCAGGAUAAAAGCAAUCAAGUCAAAACCUCAAGAUCCAACUCCUUGUUGGAUCAUCUGCAACUUGUUCUUGUGAUGUAUAGGCAUUUUAUGUGAUGCCAGCAGGGGAAGGUAGGCCAAUCAGAGCACUCAUGUCAGACUGCAUUCUGUGAAGGGAUGAAAGGUUGAAAGAGCAGAUUUUGCCUGCCAUCACUCUGCAGGCAACACUGCAAGCUCUGAGAUGCAGUGUUCAUCUCUGGAUUAAGCAGUCACCAGCAUCCCAGAUGCCUGAUGACUUUGCCCAGCAAUCUGAGCAAAAGUCCAACUGUUCCACAGAUUGGGUUAUAAGAUGUUUUGAGCUGGAAUCCUCUGAUGCAUUGGGGACUCCUGUGCAGGAUUUAAGCUGUCCAACAAUUCCAUGGCAGUGGCCAGACAUUUAUGUACCCACCUUGCCUCCUAAAAUAUCAGCAAAAAAGCAGUAUUUGACAUAGUGGUCCACUUUUGAGGUCACCUGAGACAUAACCAGUUGAACCAAAUCCAAUAAAACCAAGAAGACGGUUGAGCCACACCAGGAAAAAGAAAAAGGGAACUGAGAACUCAGAAUUCAACAGAAGCAGACUUCAAUUCAAGAUUAGACAUCAAGUGCAGUGGAGUUGGAUGACAAUGACAGAGAUGGCAGGUCACAAUCGACGGAAGCAUCUUUCUUCUUUCCGAUGGAAAAAUCAAGGAAAACUUCCAUUCAAGCAGUAUCCGUACAUCACUUGCAAGUACACAUCACCCAUAUCUGUUUGUAAUG